This is a long non-coding RNA of Chelonia mydas (Green sea turtle), 550 nucleotides long. RefSeq lists it as uncharacterized. NCBI's taxonomy places the organism in Eukaryota, Metazoa, Chordata, Testudines, Cheloniidae. The record is from RefSeq and is a predicted model, not a curated record. The transcript is spliced from 3 exons.
AGGCUUAACUCACAACCCAUGUCUGAGCACCCUCAGACCAUGAGAAACUGGAGCUGUGUCUAGCUGUUGCCACUUAAGGCUGCGGAGUUGGCAGGGCUCACUGCCUGAGACUACACCACAGGCUGUCUUAUGAAAAGCCAAGAUGCAGCCAGGGACAACAACAGUCCGCACAGGGAAUGCUGGAGUUUGCUGUAUAGCCACAUGUCAGUUAUUAUAAAGCAAACUACCUCUUCCAAAUUAGUCCUCUGCUGAAUGGGACUAUACCCUUAGGCAGGGCCGGCUCCAACUUUUUUGCUGCCCCAAGCGGCAAAGAAAAAAAGCAGCAGGACCUGCUGCCUAAUUGCUGCUGAAGAGGGAGAGAGGGAGUGAAGGUCCCGCCGCCGAAUUGCCGCCGAAGACGCGGACAUGCUGCCCCAAUCAUGGACACAGUCCCCCCCUUUCUAUUGGCCGCCCCAGGCACCUGCUUCCUUCGCUGGUGCCUGGAGCCAGCCCUGCCCUUAGGGCUGGUCUACACACAAUUUACAGGAAAAAUCUAUACCACUAGAAGUAC